AGAGUUUGAUCCUGGCUCAGAUUGAACGCUGGCGGCAGGCCUAGCACAUGCAAGUCGAGCGGCAGCACGGGUACUUGUACCUGGUGGCGAGCGGCGGACGGGUGAGUAAUGCCUAGGAAUCUGCCUGGUAGUGGGGGAUAACGCUCGGAAACGGACGCUAAUACCGCAUACGUCCUACGGGAGAAAGCGGGGGACCUUCGGGCCUCGCGCCAUUAGAUGAGCCUAGGUCGGAUUAGCUAGUUGGUGAGGUAAUGGCUCACCAAGGCGACGAUCCGUAACUGGUCUGAGAGGAUGAUCAGUCACACUGGAACUGAGACACGGUCCAGACUCCUACGGGAGGCAGCAGUGGGGAAUAUUGGACAAUGGGCGAAAGCCUGAUCCAGCCAUGCCGCGUGUGUGAAGAAGGUCUUCGGAUUGUAAAGCACUUUAAGUUGGGAGGAAGGGUAGUAACUUAAUACGUUGCUACUUUGACGUUACCGACAGAAUAAGCACCGGCUAACUUCGUGCCAGCAGCCGCGGUAAUACGAAGGGUGCAAGCGUUAAUCGGAAUUACUGGGCGUAAAGCGCGCGUAGGUGGUUCAGUAAGUUGGAAGUGAAAUCCCCGGGCUCAACCUGGGAACUGCUUUCAAAACUGCUGAGCUAGAGUACGGUAGAGGGUGGUGGAAUUUCCUGUGUAGCGGUGAAAUGCGUAGAUAUAGGAAGGAACACCAGUGGCGAAGGCGACCACCUGGACUGAUACUGACACUGAGGUGCGAAAGCGUGGGGAGCAAACAGGAUUAGAUACCCUGGUAGUCC
RNAcentral lists this ribosomal RNA (795 nucleotides) under uncultured bacterium. Its description in RNAcentral is "bacterial SSU rRNA". It matches the Rfam family "Bacterial small subunit ribosomal RNA", at positions 8 to 796 of the family's 1533-position model. The record is from RNAcentral.